Molecule: long non-coding RNA, 544 nt
Organism: Felis catus (domestic cat)
Lineage: Eukaryota; Metazoa; Chordata; Mammalia; Carnivora; Felidae
Exons: 2
Source: RefSeq, a predicted model, not a curated record
AAUGCAAGUCAUGUAUCCCAAGUCUGGAGAGAAUAUUUGAGACUCGGUUAUUCAUUCUCAGUCAUUGUGACGGACUGUGGCCACAGCAACACAAGAUUAUUGACCUCGUUCAAAGUUCGAACACUGGACCUGAAAACACACAACCAGAAUGAAUGUUCAAUGAUUAAUCAACAUCUGUGAAUUGAUGGCUAAAAAGCACCAUUCCAACUCAUAAAAUAUGCAAGAAGCAAGAAAAAAGGAAAGUGCAUAAGAAAGUUUCUUGAAAUGUCCCUGUGGAGUUGGACCCGCCUUCAUGUGAUACCAUAUAAUGUGCUUCCAGGGUUGGAGUAGGAAGAUAAAAACUUCACUCAUUAGAAGUCACACACACAUUUGGAAAAAUCUCAACUUCAAGCACCCAUUUGAAUUACAAUACACAAAAAUCUGUGUUUCUCAGAUUGUCAAAGAUUAAACAGUAUAAUAAUACCCAGUGCUGGUGAGGGUAUGGGAGAAACUAGUCUUUUUCACUGUCCGUGGAAAAAUAAAGUGGAGAAAAAGCUUUAGAGGA